AUUGAAGGAGCUUGCUCCUGAUUGAUAAACAUUUGAGUGAGUGGCGGACGGGUGAGUAACACGUGGGUAACCUGCCCUAAAGUGGGGGAUAACAUUUGGAAACAGAUGCUAAUACCGCAUAAAACCUAACACCGCAUGGUGUAGGGUUGAAAGAUGGUUUCGGCUAUCACUUUAGGAUGGACCCGCGGUGCAUUAGUUAGUUGGUGAGGUAAAGGCUCACCAAGACCGUGAUGCAUAGCCGACCUGAGAGGGUAAUCGGCCACACUGGGACUGAGACACGGCCCAGACUCCUACGGGAGGCAGCAGUAGGGAAUCUUCCACAAUGGACGAAAGUCUGAUGGAGCAACGCCGCGUGAGUGAAGAAGGUUUUCGGAUCGUAAAACUCUGUUGUUGGAGAAGAAUGUAUCUGAUAGUAACUGAUCAGGUAGUGACGGUAUCCAACCAGAAAGCCACGGCUAACUACGUGCCAGCAGCCGCGGUAAUACGUAGGUGGCAAGCGUUGUCCGGAUUUAUUGGGCGUAAAGCGAGCGCAGGCGGUUUCUUAAGUCUGAUGUGAAAGCCUUCGGCUCAACCGAAGAAGUGCAUCGGAAACUGGGAAACUUGAGUGCAGAAGAGGACAGUGGAACUCCAUGUGUAGCGGUGAAAUGCGUAGAUAUAUGGAAGAACACCAGUGGCGAAGGCGGCUGUCUGGUCUGUAACUGACGCUGAGGCUCGAAAGCAUGGGUAGCAAACAGGAUUAGAUACCCUGGUAGUCCAUGCCGUAAACGAUGAGUGCUAGGUGUUGGAGGGUUUCCGCCCUUCAGUGCCGCAGCUAACGCAUUAAGCACUCCGCCUGGGGAGUACGACCGCAAGGUUGAAACUCAAAGGAAUUGACGGGGGCCCGCACAAGCGGUGGAGCAUGUGGUUUAAUUCGAAGCAACGCGAAGAACCUUACCAGGUCUUGACAUCCUUUGACCACUCUAGAGAUAGAGCUUUCCCUUCGGGGACAAAGUGACAGGUGGUGCAUGGUUGUCGUCAGCUCGUGUCGUGAGAUGUUGGGUUAAGUCCCGCAACGAGCGCAACCCUUAUUACUAGUUGCCAGCAUUAAGUUGGGCACUCUAGUGAGACUGCCGGUGACAAACCGGAGGAAGGUGGGGACGACGUCAAAUCAUCAUGCCCCUUAUGACCUGGGCUACACACGUGCUACAAUGGAUGGUACAACGAGUUGCGAGACCGCGAGGUUUAGCUAAUCUCUUAAAACCAUUCUCAGUUCGGAUUGUAGGCUGCAACUCGCCUACAUGAAGCCGGAAUCGCUAGUAAUCGCGGAUCAGCAUGCCGCGGUGAAUACGUUCCCGGGCCUUGUACACACCGCCCGUCACACCAUGAGAGUUUGUAACACCC
Molecule: ribosomal RNA, 1380 nt
Filed under: Latilactobacillus sakei
Lineage: Bacteria; Bacillati; Bacillota; Bacilli; Lactobacillales; Lactobacillaceae
Description: bacterial SSU rRNA
Rfam family: Bacterial small subunit ribosomal RNA
Source: RNAcentral